This is a long non-coding RNA of Gymnodraco acuticeps, 1953 nucleotides long. RefSeq lists it as uncharacterized. The record is from RefSeq and is a predicted model, not a curated record. NCBI's taxonomy places the organism in Eukaryota, Metazoa, Chordata, Actinopteri, Perciformes, Bathydraconidae. The transcript has 3 exons.
GUUGUGUGUGUUAUCUGUUAUCACUGUAUUAUACUGUAAAUGAAAAAGGCUUUAAUCCUUCAUGAAAGUCAUAAUAUGGCAUGUGCAUUUAUGUCCAUUUUUGAUUAGAAAACGAAAUAUGUCAGACAUAGUUAUUUUGAUUGGCUAAAUGUAUUUUUACAUUCUCAGUUAGCUUCAGGCCUCACUGAGGAGAACUAUUGAGGUAGAAAGCUGGUGAAGCCAUUUCAUUAUAUUCUGUUUGCACAGAUUCAUUCGACCACACAACACAACGCAGAGAUACAUGUGGCAUCAAACCAGAGAAUGAUUAGAUAAAUAGAGAAAACGGAUAUAAUUUGCUUAUUAUCUGAUUACCAGCACAGCGGACUUGUAACAGUAGCAGCAGUGGAGAUGGAGCCUCAGAACCUGGAGAAUACAGCAACAACAACAACAAGGAUCCAUUUGAAGAUAGCUGCAAGAACCUCCAUCUGUGCCUGCACCCAGGUCAAGAUCUACCGUGGCUCAAGGGCCUUCACCAGAGCCAUCACCACCAAGGACCAGCAUCACUACAGCAGCCUCCACCUCCAUCUGUGCCUGCCACAAGAUUAAGAUACACCUCGGUACAAAGGCCUCCACCACAGCCAUCACAAUCAACCCAGCCAGCAAAGAAGUCUCGCCUAGCACACCUCCCUCCCGCCGACACAGCCACCAGCAGCCCAUGCACCAUCACCCCCACCUACACAGAAGCCAGACCCACUGUCUUGGAAGAAAGACAAAGACCAUGGCAAUGCUCCCCCUGUCUUUACAUUUAUAAUGAAUAGUUGGUUGACAAAGUUCUGAUAUUGUCAGGGUUCUUACAGUCAUUAAAAACCUGGAAAAGUCAUGGAAUGCAAUAUUUUUUCCAAAGUUUUGGAAAAGUCAUGGAAAUAUAACUAAAGUUGCAUCAAAUAUAAUUUAUGUGUUAUCUAAUCGCCGAAAUAGUAAUACUAUAAUGAUAAUAAAUACUGUAUCGUAUAAUGAAACGUAAAAUGGCAACUGUGGCAGUAUUUUGCUGGUGAGAGAUGUUUACAAUCAUGCCCUCUAGUCUACAGGAGCUACUAUUUGAUAUAAAGAUGCCAGGGAAGUGCAGUUUCAACAAUGUAUGGCUUCUAAAGAAUAAGUAAUUGUGGUUAUCAAAAGACAUUGACCCAAGACGUGCUAAAUGCAAACUGUUGUAACAUAUUCAAUAUUUAGAAUAUGAAAGAGUCAUUUCUUUGGUCAUGGAAAAGUCAUUUAAAAUCAUUGGUGAAAAAGUGUAUAAACCCUGUAUUGUAAAUAUUGAGAUACGAUACGAUACGAUAUUACUUUAUUGUCAGAUCAAGUCUGAAAUUUGACUUGCGUCACAGCAGCUCCAUGUCCAACAUCAACAGACAAAUAUGCAUACACAAAUACAUGAAACACAAACAUUUAACAUAACAGCACAAUCAGUGAGAGAAAAACAUGCUCAAAGAGCCUUCAGCGUGCAUUUGGUCUGGGAUUUAGCUCUGUAUUUACUCUGAGGACUGACUGAUGCACAAAGGAGUGCUUCAGUCUGACUUUAUUGAAUCGUGGGACCCUGUAUCUCCGAUUAGAUGGUAGCAGUUCAUAUUCACUGUUCAGAACAUGGUUUGGGUCGGAGAUGAUGUUGUUGGACAGCCUCACUAGGUUGUUAUGAUAGGCUGAGUCAUAGAGUCUCUGACAGGGUUGACCAACAAUCUUUGAGCAGAUCUUUAACAGGUGGAGUAGUUUUGAUUUUAACGCUGCUGACAGACAUUUGUACCAGGUAGUAUUGCAGUACUGUAGAAUGGACAUGAUCAAAGAUGUAAAGAACAACAGAAGAAUUUCUCUGCUCGCGCCAAAAGACCUAAGACGGCGGAGAAAAUAAAUUCUUUGUUUUGUCCUUUUGCACCAGAUGUUACAGUUUCUUAUGUUAACAUAAAUAGUUGGUUGAAAAAAAAA